This 621-nucleotide ribosomal RNA is filed under the name uncultured bacterium. RNAcentral describes it as "bacterial SSU rRNA". The stretch from base 1 to 530 matches the Rfam family "Bacterial small subunit ribosomal RNA", at positions 338 to 873 of the family's 1533-position model. The record is from RNAcentral.
CCUACGGGAGGCAGCAGUAGGGAAUAUUGGGCAAUGGAGGCAACUCUGACCCAGCCAUGCCGCGUGAACGAAGAAGGCGCUAUGCGUCGUAAAGUUCUUUUAGAGGGGGCGAAAACACUUGAUUUAUCAAGUACUGACGGUACCUUCGGAAUAAGCACCGGCUAACUCUGUGCCAGCAGCCGCGGUAAUACAGAGGGUGCAAGCGUUAUCCGGAAUCACUGGGUUUAAAGGGUGCGUAGGCGGGAUUAUAAGUCAGAGGUGAAAUCUCGUCGCUUAACGACGGAAUUGCCUUUGAUACUGUUUUUCUUGAAAUUUGUUGAGGUUGGCGGAAUGAGACAUGUAGCGGUGAAAUGCUUAGAUAUGUCUUAGAACACCGAUUGCGAAGGCAGCUGACUGGACAAUAUUUGACGCUGAGGCACGAAAGCGUGGGGAUCAAACAGGAUUAGAUACCCUGGUAGUCCACGCCCUAAACGAUGUUUACUGCUGUUUGUCUUUCGGGAUGUGUGNGAGAGAAGAGAGAGUAACCGACCGUAGGGAGGUACGCCGCGAGGUAAGGUAACGUACGUUAAGUUAGUAGUUAGUUAGGCGNGNGAGNGCGACGGACGACGACGAGGGAGGAGG